GACGAACGCUGGCGGCGUGCCUAAUACAUGCAAGUAGAACGCUGAAGGAGGAGCUUGCUUCUCUGGAUGAGUUGCGAACGGGUGAGUAACGCGUAGGUAACCUGCCUGGUAGCGGGGGAUAACUAUUGGAAACGAUAGCUAAUACCGCAUAAGAGUAAAUGUCGCAUGACAUUUGCUUAAAAGGUGCAAUUGCAUCACUACCAGAUGGACCUGCGUUGUAUUAGCUAGUUGGUGAGGUAACGGCUCACCAAGGCAACGAUACAUAGCCGACCUGAGAGGGUGAUCGGCCACACUGGGACUGAGACACGGCCCAGACUCCUACGGGAGGCAGCAGUAGGGAAUCUUCGGCAAUGGACGGAAGUCUGACCGAGCAACGCCGCGUGAGUGAAGAAGGUUUUCGGAUCGUAAAGCUCUGUUGUAAGAGAAGAACGAGUGUGAGAGUGGAAAGUUCACACUGUGACGGUAGCUUACCAGAAAGGGACGGCUAACUACGUG
This 495-nucleotide ribosomal RNA is filed under the name uncultured bacterium. RNAcentral's name for it is "partial 16S ribosomal RNA". It matches the Rfam family "Bacterial small subunit ribosomal RNA", at positions 28 to 507 of the family's 1533-position model. The record is from RNAcentral.